Molecule: ribosomal RNA, 483 nt
Filed under: uncultured bacterium
Lineage: Bacteria
Description: partial 16S ribosomal RNA
Rfam family: Bacterial small subunit ribosomal RNA
Source: RNAcentral
AUUGAACGCUAGCGGGAUGCUUUACACAUGCAAGUCGAACGGCAGCGCGGACUUCGGUCUGGCGGCGAGUGGCGAACGGGUGAGUAAUGUAUCGGAACGUGCCCAGUAGCGGGGGAUAACUACGCGAAAGCGUAGCUAAUACCGCAUACGCCCUACGGGGGAAAGCAGGGGGUCGUAAGACCUUGCACUAUUGGAGCGGCCGAUAUCGGAUUAGCUAGUUGGUGAGGUAACGGCUCACCAAGGCGACGAUCCGUAGCUGGUUUGAGAGGACGACCAGCCACACUGGGACUGAGACACGGCCCAGACUCCUACGGGAGGCAGCAGUGGGGAAUUUUGGACAAUGGGGGCAACCCUGAUCCAGCCAUCCCGCGUGUGCGAUGAAGGCCUUCGGGUUGUAAAGCACUUUUGGCAGGAAAGAAACGUCGCGGGCUAAUACCCCGUGGAACUGACGGUACCUGCAGAAUAAGCACCGGCUAACUACGU